CCCUUAGAUGGUCUGGGCUGCACGCGUGCUACACUGGUCCGGAGAACAAGCGUAUCCUGAUCAGAAAUGAUUGGGGAAUCUUUUGAAUGCGGACCGUGAUCGGGAUUGACUAUUGCAAACAUUGGUCAUGAACGAGGAAUUCCUAGUAAGCGCGGGUCAUCAUCUCGCGCUGAUUACGUCCCUGCCCUUUGUACACACCGCCCGUCGCUGCCUCCGAUUGGGUGUUGAGGUGAAUUACUUGGAUGUUUUUCGUAAGAGAAAUAGAAGCGUUGUGAACCUUAACACUUAGAGGGAGCAGAAGUCGUAACA
Molecule: ribosomal RNA, 309 nt
Filed under: uncultured eukaryote
Lineage: Eukaryota
Description: partial 18S ribosomal RNA
Rfam family: Eukaryotic small subunit ribosomal RNA
Source: RNAcentral